UACGAAGGGGGCUAGCGUUGUUCGGAUUUACUGGGCGUAAAGCGCACGUAGGCGGAUCGUUAAGUCGGGGGUGAAAUCCCGGGGCUCAACCCCGGAACUGCCUUCGAUACUGGCGAUCUCGAGUCCGGAAGAGGUGAGUGGAACUCCUAGUGUAGAGGUGGAAUUCGUAGAUAUUAGGAAGAACACCAGUGGCGAAGGCGGCUCACUGGUCCGGUACUGACGCUGAGGUGCGAAAGCGUGGGGAGCAAACAGG
RNAcentral lists this ribosomal RNA (253 nucleotides) under uncultured bacterium. RNAcentral describes it as "partial 16S ribosomal RNA". It matches the Rfam family "Bacterial small subunit ribosomal RNA", at positions 524 to 776 of the family's 1533-position model. The record is from RNAcentral.